AACGAACGCUGGCGGCAUGCCUAACACAUGCAAGUCGAACGAGACCUUCGGGUCUAGUGGCGCUCGGGUGCGUAACGCGUGGGAAGUUGCCCUUAGGUUACGUAUCACUCCCCGAAAGGGGUGCUAAUACCGGUUAAUGUAUUCGGACCAAAGAUUUCUGGCCGUUGGAUGGGCCCGCGUUGGUUUAGCCAGUUGGUAGGGUAAAAGCGUACCAAGGCGACGUUGCAUAGCUGGUCGGAUAGGAUGACCAGCUACACUGGGACUGAGACACGGCCCAGAAUCGUACGGAGGGCAGCAGUAUGGAAUAUUGUACAAUGGGCGAAAGCCUAAUCCAGCAGUGCCGCGUGAGUGAUGAAGGCCUUAGGGUUGUAAAGCUCUUUUACCCGAGAUGAUAAUGACAGUACCGGGAGAAUAAGCUCCGGCUAACUCCGUG
RNAcentral lists this ribosomal RNA (433 nucleotides) under uncultured bacterium. RNAcentral's name for it is "partial 16S ribosomal RNA". It matches the Rfam family "Bacterial small subunit ribosomal RNA", at positions 29 to 507 of the family's 1533-position model. The record is from RNAcentral.